Molecule: ribosomal RNA, 1371 nt
Filed under: uncultured bacterium
Lineage: Bacteria
Description: bacterial SSU rRNA
Rfam family: Bacterial small subunit ribosomal RNA
Source: RNAcentral
GAUGAACGCUGGCGGCGUGCCUAAUACAUGCAAGUCGAGCGAACGGACGAGAAGCUUGCUUCUCUGAUGUUAGCGGCGGACGGGUAAGUAACACGUGGAUAACCUACCUAUAAGACUGGGAUAACUUCGGGAAACCGGAGCUAAUACCGGAUAAUAUUUUGAACCGCAUGGUUCAAAAGUGAAAGACGGUCUUGCUGUCACUUAUAGAUGGAUCCGCGCUGCAUUAGCUAGUUGGUAAGGUAACGGCUUACCAAGGCAACGAUGCAUAGCCGACCUGAGAGGGUGAUCGGCCACACUGGAACUGAGACACGGUCCAGACUCCUACGGGAGGCAGCAGUAGGGAAUCUUCCGCAAUGGGCGAAAGCCUGACGGAGCAACGCCGCGUGAGUGAUGAAGGUCUUCGGAUCGUAAAACUCUGUUAUUAGGGAAGAACAUAUGUGUAAGUAACUGUGCACAUCUUGACGGUACCUAAUCAGAAAGCCACGGCUAACUACGUGCCAGCAGCCGCGGUAAUACGUAGGUGGCAAGCGUUAUCCGGAAUUAUUGGGCGUAAAGCGCGCGUAGGCGGUUUUUUAGUCUGAUGUGAAAGCCCACGGCUCAACCGUGGAGGGUCAUUGGAAACUGGAAAACUUGAGUGCAGAAGAGGAAAGUGGAAUUCCAUGUGUAGCGGUGAAAUGCGCAGAGAUAUGGAGGAACACCAGUGGCGAAGGCGACUUUCUGGUCUGUAACUGACGCUGAUGUGCGAAAGCGUGGGGAUCAAACAGGAUUAGAUACCCUGGUAGUCCACGCCGUAAACGAUGAGUGCUAAGUGUUAGGGGGUUUCCGCCCCUUAGUGCUGCAGCUAACGCAUUAAGCACUCCGCCUGGGGAGUACGACCGCAAGGUUGAAACUCAAAGGAAUUGACGGGGACCCGCACAAGCGGUGGAGCAUGUGGUUUAAUUCGAAGCAACGCGAAGAACCUUACCAAAUCUUGACAUCCUUUGACAACUCUAGAGAUAGAGCUUUCCCCUUCGGGGGACAAAGUGACAGGUGGUGCAUGGUUGUCGUCAGCUCGUGUCGUGAGAUGUUGGGUUAAGUCCCGCAACGAGCGCAACCCUUAAGCUUAGUUGCCAUCAUUAAGUUGGGCACUCUAAGUUGACUGCCGGUGACAAACCGGAGGAAGGUGGGGAUGACGUCAAAUCAUCAUGCCCCUUAUGAUUUGGGCUACACACGUGCUACAAUGGACAAUACAAAGGGCAGCGAAACCGCGAGGUCAAGCAAAUCCCAUAAAGUUGUUCUCAGUUCGGAUUGUAGUCUGCAACUCGACUACAUGAAGCUGGAAUCGCUAGUAAUCGUAGAUCAGCAUGCUACGGUGAAUACGUUCCCGGGUCU